Molecule: ribosomal RNA, 374 nt
Filed under: uncultured bacterium
Lineage: Bacteria
Description: bacterial SSU rRNA
Rfam family: Bacterial small subunit ribosomal RNA
Source: RNAcentral
UGGGGAAUCUUGCACAAUGGGGGCAACCCUGAUGCAGCGACGCCGCGUGAGCGAUGAAGCCCUUCGGGGCGUAAAGCUCUUUCGACCGGAACGAUAAUGACGGUACCGGGAGAAGAAGCUGCGGCUAACUACGUGCCAGCAGCCGCGGUAAUACGUAGGCAGCAAGCGUUGUUCGGAGUUACUGGGCGUAAAGAGUGCGUAGGCGGUUUUCUAAGUUCGGUGUGAAAUCUCCCGGCUUAACUGGGAGGGUGCGCCGAAGACUGGGGAGCUGGAGUGGGGGAAAGGCAGGCGGAAUUCCUGGUGUCGCGGUGAAAUGCGUAGAUAUCAGGAGGAACACCGGCGGUGUAGACGGCUUGCUAGACCAUAACUGACGC